GCUUGCUGGGUGGGAUCAUAUAGAAUUUUCCUUGAGAGGCUUCCAUCAGCACACUCAUAUCUCAGAAGGAAGAGCUGUCUGCCUUAUCUUGCAAAAAACUUUGGUCAUGAAUUAGAGGCAGCACAUGGAAGCUGACAUCGUGAAUUUUUGCCCCAGAACAACUGCAGGAAUAAAUCAGGUCCUCUCAGGAGAGGACCCACAGACCUCCUGAAGGAAGCAGAUUGCUCCUGCAGGACCAGGGAGACACCUCAAAUACUGUGAGUG
RNAcentral lists this long non-coding RNA (264 nucleotides) under Homo sapiens (human). RNAcentral's name for it is "PREDICTED lncRNA (TCONS_00211339)". The record is from RNAcentral. Lineage: Eukaryota; Metazoa; Chordata; Mammalia; Primates; Hominidae.